AUUGAACUGAAGAGUUUGAUCAUGGCUCAGAUUGAACGCUGGCGGCAGGCCUAACACAUGCAAGUCGAGCGGAUGAAGGGAGCUUGCUUCCUGAUUCAGCGGCGGACGGGUGAGUAAUGCCUAGGA
This 126-nucleotide ribosomal RNA is filed under the name Pseudomonas citronellolis. Its description in RNAcentral is "partial 16S ribosomal RNA". It matches the Rfam family "Bacterial small subunit ribosomal RNA", at positions 1 to 122 of the family's 1533-position model. Lineage: Bacteria; Pseudomonadati; Pseudomonadota; Gammaproteobacteria; Pseudomonadales; Pseudomonadaceae. The record is from RNAcentral.